AGACCAUGGUGUGGGCAUUCUCUCUGCAGAUCCUUGAACCUUUCCCAUACUUCAAACAAGCUCUCGUCUUCCUGCUGCGUAAUAGAAAUGAUCUGGCUCCUCAGACG
This 107-nucleotide small nucleolar RNA is filed under the name Spinacia oleracea (spinach). RNAcentral describes it as "Plant small nucleolar RNA R71". It matches the Rfam family "Plant small nucleolar RNA R71". From Rfam's summary of the family: R71 is a member of the C/D box family of snoRNAs containing the C (UGAUGA) and D (CUGA) box motifs. Multiple nearly identical copies of this snoRNA have been identified in Arabidopsis, and it is thought to function as a 2'-O-ribose methylation guide for 18S ribosomal RNA. Lineage: Eukaryota; Viridiplantae; Streptophyta; Magnoliopsida; Caryophyllales; Amaranthaceae. The record is from Rfam by way of RNAcentral.